CCUACGGGAGGCAGCAGUGGGGAAUCUUGCACAAUGGGCGAAAGCCUGAUGCAGCGAUUCCGCGUGGAGGAUGAAGCAUUGCGGUGUGUAAACUCCUUUUUUGGUGGAAGACGAAUGACGGUACCCCAAGAAUAAGGGCCGGCUAACUACGUGCCAGCAGCCGCGGUAAU
RNAcentral lists this ribosomal RNA (170 nucleotides) under uncultured bacterium. RNAcentral describes it as "partial 16S ribosomal RNA". It matches the Rfam family "Bacterial small subunit ribosomal RNA", at positions 338 to 524 of the family's 1533-position model. The record is from RNAcentral.